CUCUUCCUCAAACAUACAGACUUUAGCAGCAACACUGUUCUGAUUGAUGUCAAGGUCCAAGCAAAUACACCUAUGACUAAUCAAAUUAAAAAUAGAUGCCAAAGCUUUUCAUACAUGAACAGGGUGGGAAGGAGCACAGAAACAUUCAUGGCUAUUCCCCACCUAGUCUCACAUUUUUCCAUGCACUGUGAAAGUCUGUAUGUUUGAGGAAGAGAGAAGGAAGGCGAGAUAGGGGCGGGGGGGAAGAAGACGUGUCGCUAAUGCCGUAGAGAGCAUUGUAGCUAGGCCACUAGUUUGCUCAUCUUUCAAAUCAACUGCUUUCAUUACAUUCAUUCGGGAUGUCCCCCACCCAACACUCCUAUAAAAAAAAUCACUUGGGCAGAGAGUAUAUUACUCACCAACGACUCAACCCUUGUUGAUCCAAUGGUUUUAUUGCUAACCCCUAAAAUGUACAACGAGAAGCACACAAAUGGGAAAGAGCUCACUGCUUAAGCAUGUUGUUUACCUUUACAUGCAAGCCUUGAAAAGUUAG
This 532-nucleotide unclassified non-coding RNA is filed under the name Hevea brasiliensis (rubber tree). Lineage: Eukaryota; Viridiplantae; Streptophyta; Magnoliopsida; Malpighiales; Euphorbiaceae. The record is from RNAcentral.